Dipodomys spectabilis (banner-tailed kangaroo rat) is the source of this 110-nucleotide long non-coding RNA. RefSeq lists it as uncharacterized. NCBI's taxonomy places the organism in Eukaryota, Metazoa, Chordata, Mammalia, Rodentia, Heteromyidae. The transcript has 3 exons. The record is from RefSeq and is a predicted model, not a curated record.
CCAGCUUACCUCCCGAAAAUGGGUCGGUGGUCCCUGGGUGGGGGUCUCUAUCCCGGACGAGCCCCCAGAUGAAAGACCCCCGCCAGGGUGGGGCAAUCUUUCUAUCUAAG